This 614-nucleotide unclassified non-coding RNA is filed under the name Hevea brasiliensis (rubber tree). Lineage: Eukaryota; Viridiplantae; Streptophyta; Magnoliopsida; Malpighiales; Euphorbiaceae. The record is from RNAcentral.
AUUUGAAAAAGGAAAUUAAAAAAAAAAACUAUGGAAGCAAAGAUAGGCAAAUUCUUCGAGUCCGUCAGCAACUUCUUCACCGGCGCCGAUCAGAUCCCGUGGUGCGACCGCGACAUCGUCGCUGGAUGUGAGCAAGAGGUUAUUGAAGCUGAAAAAGGUUCCUCUGAUGAGUUUAAGAAUGAAUGCAUCAUGCGUCUGUCGUGGGCUCUUGUGCAUUCAAGACAACCAGAAGAUGUACAUCGUGGCAUGGCAAUGCUGGAAUCUUCUAUAGGCGACACUACCAGCCCUCAGAAAUUAAGAGAGAAACUUUAUCUUCUUGCUGUUGGGUAUUACAGAAGUGGUGACUAUUCAAAAAGCAGGGAGCUGGUGGAGGAAUGUUUGAAGAUUGAACCUGACUGGAGACAGGCGCAGUCCCUUAGGAAAGCAAUUGAAGACCAGAUAAAAAAAGAUGGCAUAAUUGGCAUAGGCAUUGCUGCUACAGCUGUGGGACUGGUUGCUGGUGGGAUUGCUGCAGCUUUGGCACGAAGGAACUGACUCCACCUUUGAUAUCUGCUGAUAUGUAAGAGAAAUCCACUAAAUGGCAUGCUUGAUUUUGAUGCAGAAACUUGAAAAAA